RNAcentral lists this ribosomal RNA (480 nucleotides) under uncultured bacterium. RNAcentral describes it as "partial 16S ribosomal RNA". It matches the Rfam family "Bacterial small subunit ribosomal RNA", at positions 28 to 523 of the family's 1533-position model. The record is from RNAcentral.
GACGAACGCUGGCGGCGUGCCUAACACAUGCAAGUCGAGCGAGUGAAUUUCCUUCGGGAUUGAAGCUAGCGGCGGACGGGUGAGUAACACGUGGGCAACCUGCCUCAUAGAGGGGAAUAGCCUUUCGAAAGGAAGAUUAAUACCGCAUAAGAUUGUAGCUUCGCAUGAAGUAGCAAUUAAAGGAGUAAUCCGCUAUGAGAUGGGCCCGCGGCGCAUUAGCUAGUUGGUGAGGUAACGGCUUACCAAGGCGACGAUGCGUAGCCGACCUGAGAGGGUGAUCGGCCACAUUGGGACUGAGACACGGCCCAGACUCCUACGGGAGGCAGCAGUGGGGAAUAUUGCACAAUGGGGGAAACCCUGAUGCAGCAACGCCGCGUGAGUGAUGACGGCCUUCGGGUUGUAAAGCUCUGUCUUCAGGGACGAUAAUGACGGUACCUGAGGAGGAAGCCACGGCUAACUACGUGCCAGCAGCCGCAGUAA